CCUACGGGAGGCAGCAGUAAGGAAUAUUGGUCAAUGGACGAAAGUCUGAACCAGCCAUGCCGCGUGAAGGAUUAAGGCCCUCUGGGUUGUAAACUUCUUUUAUCUGGGACGAAAAAAGGGUAUUCUUACUCACUUGACGGUACCAGAGGAAUAAGCACCGGCUAACUCCGUGCCAGCAGCCGCGGUAAUACGGAGGGUGCAAGCGUUAUCCGGAUUUACUGGGUUUAAAGGGUGCGUAGGUGGGCUUGUAAGUCAGUGGUGAAAUCUCCGGGCUUAACCCGGAAACUGCCAUUGAUACUAUAGGUCUUGAAUUAUCUGGAGGUAAGCGGAAUAUGUCAUGUAGCGGUGAAAUGCUUAGAUAUGACAUAGAACACCAAUUGCGAAGGCAGCUUACUACGGAUAUAUUGACACUGAGGCACGAAAGCGUGGGGAUCAAACAGGAUUAGAUACCCUGGUAGUCCACGCCCUAAACGAUGGAUACUCGACAUCAGCGAUACACUGUUGGUGUCUGAGNGAAGANAUAGUAUCCACCGNGGAGACGAGCGCGAAGAGUUAGUUAAACGUUAAAGUAAAGUUAGUUACGGCGUUGAGNGCGACGACGACGACGAGGAGGAGGAG
This 618-nucleotide ribosomal RNA is filed under the name uncultured bacterium. RNAcentral describes it as "bacterial SSU rRNA". The stretch from base 1 to 532 matches the Rfam family "Bacterial small subunit ribosomal RNA", at positions 338 to 873 of the family's 1533-position model. The record is from RNAcentral.